GACGAACGCUGGCGGCGUGCUUAACACAUGCAAGUCGAACGGAAAGGCUCCAGCUUGCUGGAGUACUCGAGUGGCGAACGGGUGAGUAACACGUGGGUAAUCUGCCCUGCACUCUGGGAUAAGCCUGGGAAACUGGGUCUAAUACUGGAUAUGACCUUUCUCCUUAUGGGGUUUGGUGGAAAGUUUUUCGGUGUAGGAUGAGCCCGCGGCCUAUCAGCUUGUUGGUGGGGUGAUGGCUUACCAAGGCGACGACGGGUAGCCGGCCUGAGAGGGUGAUCGGCCACACUGGGACUGAGAUACGGCCCAGACUCCUACGGGAGGCAGCAGUGGGGAAUAUUGCACAAUGGGCGGAAGCCUGAUGCAGCGACGCCGCGUGAGGGAUGACGGCCUUCGGGUUGUAAACCUCUUUCAGCAGGGACGAAGCGUAAGUGACGGUACCUGCAGAAGAAGCACCGGCUAACUAUGUG
Molecule: ribosomal RNA, 467 nt
Filed under: uncultured bacterium
Lineage: Bacteria
Description: partial 16S ribosomal RNA
Rfam family: Bacterial small subunit ribosomal RNA
Source: RNAcentral